UCUGAAAGGAGGGUGUAGCCAGGUCUGAGGAAUCACUGCAGUCUGGGUGUGUGUAGGCAGCCUCUACCCAGACAAAAGGCAGAGGAACACGUACAGCCCUGACACAGCAUUAUGUACAGCCCAACCAAAGAGCAAGUACUGGAUCUGCCUUCCGACUUGAUGGUGCUGCACUGCAGUGUAAAUACUGAAAAACCAAAGCAUUGUGUUUCAUGAGAUCACUAAGGAGGAAAGCCGUAUCACGGCUGAGAAGAGUGAUAAUUUCUUCUGCAUUAUUCUAUAC
This is a long non-coding RNA of Cyanistes caeruleus (blue tit), 280 nucleotides long. RefSeq lists it as uncharacterized. The record is from RefSeq and is a predicted model, not a curated record. NCBI's taxonomy places the organism in Eukaryota, Metazoa, Chordata, Aves, Passeriformes, Paridae.